This 440-nucleotide ribosomal RNA is filed under the name uncultured bacterium. RNAcentral describes it as "partial 16S ribosomal RNA". It matches the Rfam family "Bacterial small subunit ribosomal RNA", at positions 338 to 795 of the family's 1533-position model. The record is from RNAcentral.
CCUACGGGAGGCAGCAGUGGGGGAUAUUGCACAAUGGGGGGAACCCUGAUGCAGCGACGACGCGUGGGUGAAGAAGCGCCUCGGCGCGUAAAGCUCUGUCAGCAGGGAAGAAAAUGACGGUACCUGAAGAAGAAGCCGCGGCUAACUACGUGCAAGCAGCCGCGGUAAUACGAAGGGUGCAAGCGUUAUCCGGAUUUACUGGGUGUAAAGGGGGCGCAGGCGGCGUGGCAAGCCAGGAGGGAAAGCCCGGGGCCCAACCCCGGGACUGCUCUUGGAACUGCGUGGCUGGAGUGCAGGAGGGGCAGGCGGAAUUCGUGGUGUAGCGGUGAAAUGCUUAGAUAUCAGGAGGAACACCGGUGGCGAAGGCAGCCUGCUGGACUGCAACUGACGUUGAGGCCCGAAAGCGUGGGGAGCAAACAGGAUUAGAUACCCGAGUAGUC